CAGGGAAUACUUACGGGAGGCAGCAGUGGGGAAUCUUGGACAAUGGGGGCAAGCAGAAUCCAGCCAUGCCGCGUGACUGAUUAAGGCCUUAGGAUAGUAAAGUUCUUUCGCCAGAGAUGAUAAGGCCAUAAUCUGGUAAGGAACCCCGGGUAAAUUCCGUCCCAGCAGCCGCGGUAAUACGGAGGGGGUUAGCGUUAUUCGGAAUUACUGGGCGUAAAGCGCACGUAGGCGGAUCAGAAAGUAUGAGGUGAAAUCCCGGGGCUCAACCCCGGAACUGCCUUGUAAACUCCUGGUCUUGAGUUCGAGAGAGGUGAGUGGAAUUCCGAGUGUAGAGGUGAAAUUCGUAGAUAUUCGGAGGAACACCAGUGGGGAAGGCGGCUCACUGGCUCGAUACUGACGUUGAGGUGGGAAAGUGUGGGGAGCAAACAGGAUUAGAUACCCUGGUAGUCCACACCGUAAACGAUUAAUGCCAGACGUCAGCAAGCA
This 486-nucleotide ribosomal RNA is filed under the name uncultured Alphaproteobacteria bacterium. RNAcentral's name for it is "bacterial SSU rRNA". It matches the Rfam family "Bacterial small subunit ribosomal RNA", at positions 329 to 832 of the family's 1533-position model. The record is from RNAcentral. Lineage: Bacteria; Pseudomonadati; Pseudomonadota; Alphaproteobacteria.